AGUCAACAGAAACAGCAGGUCGAGGGUUAGAUACCUGGCUGUCAGAACCCCGGAAAAGAAGAUUUUAUGCCCAACAGGAGAACUACAGAAGGAGGUUACACACAAGAUUUGGCCAGGAGACUGGGUCUGGGUCCAAUCACUAAAGAUAACGGACUGGAAGCAGCCACGGUGGGAGGGGCCAUACCAAGUGCUCCUGGUGACAGCCUUCGCGGUGAGAAUAGUUGAAAGAGCUACCUGGGUUCAUAUCACACAUUGCAAGAGGGUAAGACACAUUGGCACUGUCGAACAAUCACAGAGUUAGGAGAAGAACCGAAUACCAAUAAGGUUCAAGGGUUAUCUCUCUAACGAAAAUUCCCUAACCCUCCCUAUCCUCCCUGUGUGCGUUCAUAGAAGUGAAAGUAUGGGCUGGCCUCUAGCUGAUGAUAUGUUCUCCGGGAAGGGGUGGGGCUUUACAGGAGUGCUGGUCGUUCUGAGCUGUCUGAUUGUGGGAGCCAUAUUCCUA
Oncorhynchus tshawytscha (Chinook salmon) is the source of this 502-nucleotide long non-coding RNA. NCBI's taxonomy places the organism in Eukaryota, Metazoa, Chordata, Actinopteri, Salmoniformes, Salmonidae. The record is from Ensembl.